UGGGGAAUAUUGGUCAAUGGGCGAAAGCCUGAACCAGCAAUGCCGCGUGAGUGAUGAAGGCCUUCGGGUUGUAAAGCUCUGUCGGAGGGGACGAAAAAGCCUGGGUCACUCCAGGACUUGACGGUACCUUCAAAGGAAGCACCGGCUAACUCUGUGCCAGCAGCCGCGGUAAUACAGAGGGUGCAAGCGUUGUUCGGAAUUACUGGGCGUAAAGCGCGUGUAGGCUGCAAUGUAAGUCGGAUGUGAAAGCCCUUGGCUCAACCAAGGAAGUGCAUCCGAUACUGCGUCGCUGGAGUGUCGGAGGGGGUGGCGGAAUUCCCGGUGUAGAGGUGAAAUUCGUAGAUAUCGGGAGGAACACCUGUGGCGAAGGCGGCCACCUGGACGACAACUGACGCUGAGACGCGAAAGCGUGGGUAGCAAACAGG
This 425-nucleotide ribosomal RNA is filed under the name uncultured bacterium. Its description in RNAcentral is "bacterial SSU rRNA". It matches the Rfam family "Bacterial small subunit ribosomal RNA", at positions 355 to 776 of the family's 1533-position model. The record is from RNAcentral.